AAGUCGUAACAAGGUUUCCGUAGGUGAACCUGCGGAAGGAUCAUUACCGAGUGAGGGCCCUCUGGGUCCAACCUCCCACCCGUGUUUAUUUACCUUGUUGCUUCGGCGAGCCUGCCUUUUGGCUGCCGGGGGACGUCAGUCCCCGGGUCCGUGCUCGCCGGAGACACCUUAGAACUCUGUCUGAAGAUUGUAGUCUGAGAUUAAAUAUAAAUUAUUUAAAACUUUCAACAACGGAUCUCUUGGUUCCG
This 248-nucleotide unclassified non-coding RNA is filed under the name Penicillium bialowiezense. RNAcentral describes it as "partial internal transcribed spacer region". The stretch from base 1 to 46 matches the Rfam family "Eukaryotic small subunit ribosomal RNA", at positions 1786 to 1831 of the family's 1831-position model. RNAcentral also lists the same sequence under 2 other names. The record is from RNAcentral. Lineage: Eukaryota; Fungi; Ascomycota; Eurotiomycetes; Eurotiales; Aspergillaceae.